Molecule: transfer RNA, 57 nt
Filed under: Macropostrongyloides yamagutii
Lineage: Eukaryota; Metazoa; Nematoda; Chromadorea; Rhabditida; Strongylidae
Description: tRNA-Asn
Source: RNAcentral
UAAGAGUUAGUUUAUAAAAGAAUUAUUGACUGUUAAUCAAGAGGUUUAUCUCUUAAA